This 461-nucleotide ribosomal RNA is filed under the name uncultured bacterium. RNAcentral describes it as "bacterial SSU rRNA". It matches the Rfam family "Bacterial small subunit ribosomal RNA", at positions 1036 to 1498 of the family's 1533-position model. The record is from RNAcentral.
AGGUGCUGCAUGGCUGUCGUCAGCUCGUGUCGUGAGAUGUUGGGUUAAGUCCCGCAACGAGCGCAACCCUUGUCCUUAGUUGCCAUCAUUAAGUUGGGCACUCUAGGGAGACUGCCGGUGUUAAACCGGAGGAAGGUGGGGAUGACGUCAAGUCCUCAUGGCCCUUAUGCCUAGGGCUACACACGUGCUACAAUGGCCGGUACAAAGGGCAGCAAUACCGCAAGGUGGAGCGAAUCCCAAAAAGCCGGUCUCAGUUCGGAUUGGAGUCUGCAACUCGACUCCAUGAAGUUGGAAUCGCUAGUAAUCGCGUAUCAGCAUGACGCGGUGAAUACGUUCCCGGGCCUUGUACACACCGCCCGUCACACCACGGGAGUCUAUUGUACCGGAAACCGGUGGGCUAACCUUCGGGAAGCAGCCGUUUAUGGUAUGGUCGGUAACUGGGGUGAAGUUCAAGCAACAUA